CGGGCCGUAGUCUAGCCUGGUAGGACGCACGGCUCGGGCCCGUGUGAUCCCGGGUUCAAAUCCCGGCGGCCCCA
Molecule: transfer RNA, 74 nt
Filed under: Thermoproteus uzoniensis 768-20
Lineage: Archaea; Thermoproteati; Thermoproteota; Thermoprotei; Thermoproteales; Thermoproteaceae
Also listed under: 1 other name
Description: tRNA-Pro (CGG) (tRNA-Pro-CGG-1-1)
Rfam family: tRNA
About the family: Transfer RNA (tRNA) molecules are approximately 80 nucleotides in length.
Source: RNAcentral